AGCGAACGCUGGCGGCAGGCCUAACACAUGCAAGUCGAACGAACUCUUCGGAGUUAGUGGCGGACGGGUGAGUAACACGUGGGAACGUGCCUUUAGGUUCGGAAUAACUCAGGGAAACUUGUGCUAAUACCGAAUGUGCCCUUCGGGGGAAAGAUUUAUCGCCUUUAGAGCGGCCCGCGUCUGAUUAGCUAGUUGGUGAGGUAAAGGCUCACCAAGGCGACGAUCAGUAGCUGGUCUGAGAGGAUGAUCAGCCACAUUGGGACUGAGACACGGCCCAAACUCCUACGGGAGGCAGCAGUGGGGAAUCUUGCGCAAUGGGCGAAAGCCUGACGCAGCCAUGCCGCGUGAAUGAUGAAGGUCUUAGGAUUGUAAAAUUCUUUCACCGGGGACGAUAAUGACGGUACCGGGAGAAGAAGCCCCGGCUAACUUCGUG
This 433-nucleotide ribosomal RNA is filed under the name uncultured bacterium. RNAcentral describes it as "partial 16S ribosomal RNA". It matches the Rfam family "Bacterial small subunit ribosomal RNA", at positions 29 to 507 of the family's 1533-position model. The record is from RNAcentral.